UACGUAGGUGGCAAGCGUUGUCCGGAUUUACUGGGCGUAAAGAGCGCGCAGGCGGUCGGAUAAGUCGAAUGUGAAAGCCCCCGGCUCAACUGGGGAGGGUCAUUCGAUACUGUUCGACUCGAAGGCAGGAGAGGGAAGUGGAAUUCCCGGUGUAGUGGUGAAAUGCGUAGAUAUCGGGAGGAACACCGGUGGCGAUGGCGGUUCUCUGGGCCUGACCUGACGCUGAGGAGCGAAAGCGUGGGGAGCGAACAGG
This 253-nucleotide ribosomal RNA is filed under the name uncultured bacterium. RNAcentral describes it as "partial 16S ribosomal RNA". It matches the Rfam family "Bacterial small subunit ribosomal RNA", at positions 524 to 776 of the family's 1533-position model. The record is from RNAcentral.